Molecule: ribosomal RNA, 253 nt
Filed under: uncultured bacterium
Lineage: Bacteria
Description: partial 16S ribosomal RNA
Rfam family: Bacterial small subunit ribosomal RNA
Source: RNAcentral
UACGAAGGGUGCAAGCGUUAAUCGGAAUUACUGGGCGUAAGGCGUGCGCAGGCGGCUUUGCAAGACAGAUGUGAAAUCCCCGGGCUCAACCUGGGAACUGCAUUUGUGACUGCAAGGCUAGAGUACGGCAGAGGGGGAUGGAAUUCCGCGUGUAGCAGUGAAAUGCGUAGAUAUGCGGAGGAACACCAAUGGCGAAGGCAAUCCCCUGGGCCUGUACUGACGCUCAUGCACGAAAGCGUGGGGAGCAAACAGG